AGUUGUAUCCUGGCUCAGGAUGAACGCUGGCGGUAUGCUUAACACAUGCAAGUCGAACGAAAGUUUUUAACUUUAGUGGCGAACGGGUGCGUAAUACGUGAGAAUCUGCCCUUAGGAUGAGUAUAACUGCUGGAAACGGCUGCUAACACUCAAUAUGUCGAGAGAUGAAAUAAUUUAUUGCCUAGGGAUGAGCUCGCGCCUGAUUAGCUAGUUGGUGAGGUAAUGGCUCACCAAGGCCACGAUCAGUAGCUGGUUUGAGAGAACGAUCAGCCACACUGGGACUGAGACACGGCCCAGACUCCUCCGGGAGGCAGCAGUGAGGAAUUUUCCGCAAUGGGCGAAAGCCUGACGGAGCAAUACCGCGUGAGGGAUGAAGGAUUUUGGUCUGUAAACCUCUUUUCUCAAGAAAGAAGUUCUGACGGUACUUGAGGAAUAAGCAUCGGCUAACUCCGUGCCAGCAGCCGCGGUAAUACGGGGGAUGCAAGCGUUAUCCGGAAUCAUUGGGCGUAAAGCGCCUGUAGGUUGUUUAAUAAGUCUGUUGUUAAAGACUAGGGCUCAACCCUAGAAAAGCAAUGGAAACUACUAGACUAGAGUAUGGCAGGGGUAGAGGGAAUUUCUAGUGUAGCGGUGAAAUGCGUAGAUAUUAGAAAGAACACCGGUGGCGAAAGCGCUCUACUGGACCAUUACUGACACUCAGAGGCGAAAGCUAGGGUAGCAAAAGGGAUUAGAUACCCCUGUAGUCCUAGCCGUAAACGAUGGAUACUACAUGUUGUGCAUUAUGUACAGUAUGGUAGCUAACGCGUUAAGUAUCCCGCCUGGGGGAGUACGCUCGCAAGGGUGAAACUCAAAGGAAUUGACGGGGGCCCGCACAA
RNAcentral lists this ribosomal RNA (872 nucleotides) under uncultured bacterium. Its description in RNAcentral is "bacterial SSU rRNA". It matches the Rfam family "Bacterial small subunit ribosomal RNA", at positions 10 to 928 of the family's 1533-position model. The record is from RNAcentral.